AGCGCCCUGUCACUCCGUCUCCAACCCCUCCCAGUCCUGGCCUCUGAGAGCUGCCCUGCUGUCCGCUCCUGGGCACUUCCACCCUCCCAGGGCCCAGACUGUGGCCCUGCCUCCCCCUACACCCACCCACCCCCACCCCACCCCACCCCCCGCCCGCCCGCCCGCUCCUUGCGAGCCCCGCGCACUGUGUUCCAGGGCCCCUGAGCGUGUCUGUGUCAGGGACGGUUCCCUGUCGAACAUAGAUUCCAAGAUCCCAGCACCCCACCCCACCCGUACACACAGGCCUAGUAUCCAGGAAAACGUAGACAGAGCUGGGGCCUGUACCCGGGAAGGUGGUGGUCGUCAGAGGUCUCUGUCCACGCUUCUGGGCGUGUGGACAGCAGGAAAGUAACAAAGUCUUUCCACGUCAGUCACCCGACCGGUGUGGCCCCCCUGGGAGGGAAAGCCACUCCAGCACACCCGUGCUCCAGGGGACCAUCGGCAUGGUGGGGACCAUCGGCGGUGCCUGCGGGCCUCUCACCUGGGGAGGUCAGUCAAGGUGGUCUGGAGGGCACCGUCCACAGCCCAGGCACGAGAAGAGUGUCGGCUUUGUCCAGGUGCUCGGGAAUUCCCAGACUGGGGCUCGUGACAUGUGGACGCGUGGGAGAGAGGAGCGGCAAUGAGCCCCGUGCCUGGGAGUGGGGAUGGACAGAACUCUCUGAUGAGGCAGAGGAAAGACCCAAACGCUGGGCUUGGGGAUGGGAAAGGAACAUGGGCCCUGAGAUCCAGAACGUGGAUUUGGGUGGCGGGGGGGAGAGUGGCGGGGAGCUUGGAGACCACACCGGGGGCUGUCCGCCCGAGAACGGCCCUGACUGUUGUCUGGUCUGUGCGUGCGGUCGGCCCUCGAGCUGGCGGGAAGCCGCUGCCUCUCUUCACCCAGGGGCUCUCCCAGCUCCUCGGUGAUGCUGCCCAGACCCGCUCAAUGCCCAGCACCACUGCCCGCCCGCCUAGGCCUGUCUUGCUGGUUGGUGUUUGCUUGGCUACGUGGUGGCCUGUUGUCUGGUUGGAGCUGCAGGUGAAGUGCGAGGCCAGUCACUGGCCACGGUUUGUCCCCAGAAGGAGCAACCCUGGGACCCCAGCACCUGAGCGCGUCCUGGCCGUGAGACCAGGGGCUCCAUCCCAGGACCCUGAGAUCAGAACCUGAGCCGAAACUGAGAGUCGCCAGUGGGAUGCUCAACCGACAGAGCCUCCUCAGGCGCCCCGGCUCUUCCGUCUUUGCAGGGUUGCAAACAGAACCCGCGGAAAGCCCCAGAAAGCAAGCAGGAUACGCGGCAGAGCUGCUGUGGGGCCCGCAAAGCCCAAGGAGUGUGCGCUCUGCCCUUUGCACAGGGGUUGCUGCUGGCAACCAGCCCCGGAGGCAGUCGGGGGGCUGGGGGGCGGGAAGGGCUUUCCCAUCCCAGCAGCCCCGUCAGCCCCCGCCCCCAGGCCCGGGAGCUGGGAGGCCCCCACCCAGGCCCCACCCAGGCAGGAGGCUCCGGAACCUCCUCCGCUGGGCCCAGUGGCUCCUGCUGCCCCCCGCCCCCAGUCCUCCCUGCCUUCCCCAGGGCCGGGGUGCAGCUUGCCCUGCUUGAGGCAGGUGGGGGUCACCUCUCUGCAAGUAGGUGCAGUCCCUGCUCUUCCCCCCCACUCCCCUCUCCUCCCCUGUGCUCCAGCCUCCACGGAGCAGCUGGCAAGCAGGUCGGGGCGGGGAGCGGAGAGGAGAGGGGCAGGCCCCUCUGUGGGGGUGCAGGCCCACAGGCCCCUCUUCUUCCCCGACGGGCAGUGUCAGGUAGCCCCGUGUGCCUGCUGGGCUCUGCUGGCUCAGGGGGUGGCAGGUGCCAGGUGGCCUCUCCUGCUGUGGCCUCGGGAGCCCAAGGGCGUCUCCUUUCCCCGGAGAAGGGAGAAGCGCCCGCCCCAUCCUUCCUGGCUGGGAUUCAGAGAUGACUUCCCCGUGAUGACAGGCUCGGACUCGCUCGGGUAGCUCCAAAUUUGUCACGCAGGUUCUGGGGGCGGUGCUCUCCCCGUUGGCUCUCGCCGCUGGCCAGUGCCGGGAAGGGCCCUUGAUGGCAGCUCCUGGCACCGUCUCGGGCCACCCUGUGCUUUUUGGACCCGGGGACAGUGGGUCUCGGGGGAGCCUGGCUCUGUGUCUCCCCGGAGCAGAAGCAGACUGGGGCGUGGCUUGCUGGGCCUUGGCUCAGCGGGGACUGUGGGGUCGUGGUUCCUGGGGCCAUCCCUCCGCCGGGGUGUUGGGCCGCGUGGUCCUGGAGAUGGCUCCCCUGGAGACACGCAGGCCCCGGAGAGCCCCGCACUCCUGGUGACACGUGACCAGUGUCUUCACCAUCCCCCUGGCCUGCACCUGAGCUGAGCCACCCUCCUGUCCCUGGGCCCUGGGCAGGAGGAACAGCCAGGAGGGCCCGGCUUCCCUUAGCCUUCCCUCUGGGGCCACCUGCCCAGGAGGGCUCCCGAGGGCCCCAUGGGUGCCGAGUCUCCCCUGCCCCAGCUGUGCAGGGGCUCCUCCUAGUGGCCGCUCUGCGGGUGGGCGCACUCCCUGGCUGCGGAUACUGUCCCCGCCCCAGCUUCGCUGCCCAAACCUGGCCCUCACCCUCUCUGACCGGCCUGUCCUCAGCAGAUGUGCCCACUCGAGGACAGCCCCCAACCCCACCCACUGUGCCGUGCUUUCCUCAGCCCUCCUGCCCUGCCCGUGGCCUCAGGCAGGGCCCGCUCGGGGACCCCUGGGAAGACAGCCCCCCCCCCCCGCCCCGCUCCCGAGGGGUGGAGGUGGCCAAGCCAGCCGCUGAGCAGCGGGCCAGCGGGCCAGCCGGCCCCCCGCUGGUUAGUGCCGUCCCCUGGAUGACCUACCUUCCACGUGAGGAGGGGACACGGCUCUCUGCGGGGAGCCUGUCUGAGGUUGGGACGGGCCUUCCGGAGCGGGAGCUGGAGCGGGAGGAGGCCCGUCCAGAGCUGCAGAGUGCUGCUUGCACCUGGGGUCCCUAUGGUGGCACCUGUCACCCUGCGUGCUCGCGGACCCUGUCUUAGCGGCCACCCCAUCCUCCUUCCUCUGGCUCCGUCGGGGUUCCGGGGUGGGAGCUGCCCUGAAGCACCUUGGCCCUAUGUCCUGGAGGGAGGUGCGGCCCCCCCAUGCCGGGUAGCCCCCUCGGGAACCCCACAGUUCCCCAGACUAACGUUGCCCUUGCUGAAGUGCUGGGACCCCAUCCUGUGUCGCUGAGUGGCAGCCCACCCACCCUGAAGGGCCAGUGCUCCCCUUUCCUCCCCCCCAGUCCCCUUCCAGCCUCCUGCUGGGCAGUGCGGGGCAGCAACAGGCCACAGUGAGGAUCAGGAGCAGAGGUGAGGCUGGGCCAGGGGUGGAGGCUGGCUGUGGGGGGGAGCGGGGGCGGGGGACACCCACGGGGAUGCGCAGGGGACGCGCAGGGGGCAGGACCUGCAGGGCAGGGGGCUGCUCCAGACUAGGGUGACCAGCGGUCCCCUCCCUAGACUUAGUGGAGGAGAUGGGGCCAGCCUGGGGAGGGUGUGUGGCCGGGACCGCUCCUCUGCUCCCAGCGCCUGUUGGCAAACAGGCGUGGGGCCUGGGGGGGCCGAGGCUGCACCAACCCCUGCGGCUCUCGGCGGGUCCCCGGGCCUUCACAACCCGGGUGGGAGCCCGGCCGAGGGCCUGGACCUUGCGCCCCUCCCUGUCUCCUCCUAGCAUCCGGGCUGGAGGGCAGGGCGCUGGCGCCGGAGGUCGGGGGUGUCCUCCAGGGGUUUUCUCUGUCCCAGGCCGGUUUGCCCCCAGCAGGAUGGAGUCCCGGGACUCCUUUUCCUGGUGCCAUCGGCCUGUCCUACCCUGGGGCCCUUUGCAGGGAUGGCGUCCCAGUCUUGCUACCCUCCCGCCACCUCCCCGCCCGCGCCCCCCGCCCGCGCGGGACUCAGGCUCAGGCCUCUUCUGGCCUGUAGUCUCUGUCCGGCACUGGCUCCAAGGGCUUGUUCUCCCCUAGGCUGGCAUCCUCUGCCCUUGCUGCCCGACGUGUGUCCCAGCUGCCUGGGCACAAUGUGGUGUCUGGGGACGGACGGGGGCUCCCGGUUAGCUCGGCUCGGCUCUGGAGCUGUGCUUCCGGGGGGGCCCUGGUCAGCAUGUAGAAGUGGUGGGGCCUGGCUUUAUUCACCUGUGUCCUGCGUGCCUCCAGUGGGACAGUCUCUCCCGGAGACUGGCCACCGGGAGCCUAGGGUAGCAGACCAGACCCAGGUUCAGGAGCACUGUGGACCCGAUGGCUCUCUCCUGCCCUGAAGGCCUUCUGCAGCCCCAGACUGUGGACCUCGGCAGUUUUUGUAGGCUCCUGCUUUGUGCCAGGACUCAGUGGCCCCGACGUAUUCUCUCUAGCUCGCGCUGCUCGAUCCUGUGCAGCCAGGAUUCAAGGCAGGUGCACCCCUGGGCCUGCCCUGUAGGGACCUCCUCUUCCUCUGGGAACAGCAGGGGCCGAAGCUGGAUAGCCAGCGUCGGAGCACAGCUGCGAGCUCUACCCCUCGCAGAGUCUGUGGGGCACUUGUCUCAGCCUCCCUGUCCUGGGUGGUACCGCUCUGGCAGCCCAAGCCUGCACACCUGGUGCCCCACCUUGGGCCACUGGGUCCUCUGCCCGGGGAGCCACUGUCCAGUGAACCAAAGGCAGCUAUUGCCCCCCUGCUGUGCCCCUGGGCCCCUCAGAACCCUUGGUGGGGACUGAGGGGAAGGAAGCUGCCCUGAUCCUUUGGGAGUGUGAGAACUGGACUGCAGCUGUCCUGGUGGGGCAACUCCAGAGCCCUGGGUUGCUUCGGGGAAGGGGGCCCAUGGGAGCUUUCACACAGCCAGUCCCAGUGUCCUGGAAAGCACUAAGUGGAGACCUUGACGCCUGGCCUUUGACCACCUUUGGAUCGGGGCACAUGGAGACAAAUGGACGUUGUUGUCCUUGGGGAAUAAAUGAAUGAAAAGCGGGAGACUGUGUCACAUGGUUGGGACUAUUCCCUGUCUUCUUUCAUGCAAGAAACCACAGUGGUGCCAAGUACGCCUCACUCCCCCUUUCCUGCAACAGAGGCGUUAGAGGGCUAUCCCAGCCACAAGCCAUGCCAUCUCUCUCCCUUUGGGAUGCCCCGAGCUCAGCUCCCUUUCCUCACGCUCUGCCCCACCUACUCCAGACCGUCACGUCAACCUUGCCCUUGGGUCCAGGAGGCUCCGCUUGCCUUUCUGCCGAGAUCCAUGGCCUGCCCAGGUACUGAGUGUGGGGCAGUUGCGUUCCCAGGCAGGGUUAGUCCCUCCUCUCCACACACUUGACUUGGGAUUAGCUGGUGAGAGGAGCUGCGUCACCCUGUCUCUCCGUGGAGCUGUCAGGCCCCU
Molecule: long non-coding RNA, 5380 nt
Organism: Lutra lutra (Eurasian river otter)
Lineage: Eukaryota; Metazoa; Chordata; Mammalia; Carnivora; Mustelidae
Exons: 4
Source: RefSeq, a predicted model, not a curated record